Non-coding RNA from Monodelphis domestica (gray short-tailed opossum), 1816 nucleotides. The record is from RefSeq and is a predicted model, not a curated record. NCBI's taxonomy places the organism in Eukaryota, Metazoa, Chordata, Mammalia, Didelphimorphia, Didelphidae.
UUUAAUCUAGUUCCGCUGGCUGUGUUUUGCCAGGAUACUCUUCCUGCCAGACAAAAACAACAGGAGAUUUCCCUUCUUCAGGGCUGAGAGGGCUAGAGAACGCUAGCUCCAAAGGACAAGGGAGCGAUGGCCAUGCCGGCGUCUGGCGACACCUGCUGGGCGAUCCUGGAACUACAGGAGAGCUGGACACCACAGAGGCUGAGGAUCACAGUCCCUUCUGGCUCAUGAGGAAGCUCAUGAGGAAGUUUCCAUUAUUUUCCAAAGUUUUCUAAACAAUUAUAGGAGCAGCUACUCACUAACCAUCUACUAGCAAGACGCCAGCAUCUGUAGAGACCAGCAAGGCCUGGCCCCAGGAAUCUGCGCAUACAGCUUCAUGAGGAAAAUUACUGCAGAAACACUGGGACUCCCAAGGCUACAAGACAAUACAAGCAUUGAAUAAUGAAGCCCAGUAGAUUUUGCUCCAUCCCCUUACCUUUAGUCUGUCUGUGUCUACCUGCCUCAAAUGUGUUUCUUGUAAACAACAUAUCAUAGGAUUCUGGUUUUUAAUCUACUCUGCUAUCUGCUUCCAUUUUAUGGAUGAGAAAACUGAGGCCAAAAGAAGAGAAGUAAAUCACCUAUCUUCCCAUGCUUAGUUUCAGAAUCAUAUGGGAACAUUUGAAAGUCUCCUGACUUCAAGUUUAGCAUUCUUUCCAAUAAACCAUAGAACUCCAAAGUCUCUUCCAAUUUUAAAUCCUAUCUUAUUUUUCAUAGGCUAAAAUCUUUAAAAUAUAAAUUAUCUUAAUUUAUAGUAAACACAAUUAUGAUUUGUUGGUAUAAAAUAAGGAAUAAAACAAGGAGAUAUAAUCUAGCCAAAAGUAUUUGUCGUUGUUAUAGAGGCGAUCUAGCAUGUCAAAAUUAAACAAAGAUUCCCUAUAGGUGAUGAGGAGCUAGAGAUGCUCUUUUUGAAGGUGAUAUUGCGCUAGUUAUCAGGAGUCCUAGAAUACUGCACAACCUCCUGGACAGGAGCCAUAAUCAUUCAAAAGAUUUUAGCUUAACCAUUCACACAGGAAAAGCUAAAUGGAUGAGGAAUGUUUAUGAUCCAGAUUAUGACAUGUGGUGAGUUGGAAAAUAUACAGAACUUGUCCAUCAGUAGAAAUGUCUCAGAUAGACAGUGCAAAUGGAUGAGUUGGGCCCAUAAUUGAAGAAGAGAAGAACAGGCAGAUUGCCUUUGGGAAAUUGUAAGGCUCCUUCAAACUUCCAAACUUCUGCCAGAAACAAUAGUCUUUUUAAUAUCAAUCUUAUAUUGAUUAUUGUAUAUCUGUGAGCCACAGAACACUACAUAUUACUCAAAGAAUUAACACAUAUCACUCAAAGGGUAGUGGAUAGGUAUAUGGUGGUUUGGGCAAGCUACAACACAUAAAAAAUAAUGAUGAAAUGAUUGAGUAAAAGAAACCAUCAAAGAAAUAUAUAAUAAUAAUUUUUAAAAAGAUAGGCUGGUGAUUUGGCAAAAGUGAGGCAUAACUGAUAGCCCAUGUAUUCCACUGCACUGUCCACUUGACAUCAAUAGGUUUCUGUCAUUAGCAGGAAUGUUCAUAUUGAUGUGAUUGCAAAUUUAUUUGAGGACUUCUUAUCACAAAAUACACCAUUACUGCUCUUUCUGAUAGCCUAUGUAGAAUUCUAGGCCACUUACAGCCAUUGAUCAAUUAUAAUUUUAAGAAUUAAGGCAACCAGUCAACUUUUCUAAAACAAAACUUAUUUUCUUGAAUUCCUCUUUCUGAAGUUCUGCUCAACUAACAGUUCUUACAUGAAGGAAGAGAGCCAUGUGUUACCUUGUGCA